Molecule: non-coding RNA, 26 nt
Filed under: Homo sapiens (human)
Lineage: Eukaryota; Metazoa; Chordata; Mammalia; Primates; Hominidae
Source: RNAcentral
UCCAGGAAGCAAGGUGCGCAAGUGAG